AAAACAGAAAGGUGUCAAAAAAUUGUUUUCACAAACAUUCUUUCUGAAUUCAUAAGCAAUCCUAGAAGUCAUUUUUUUUAAAGUAUUUUUGUCAUUGUUUUUAAGAAUUUGUAAUCUCUCUUAAAAUAUUUUGGCUGGUAACGUAACGGAUUACAGUUGCAUUUUUUAAAUGGAUUACAUGUCAUCUGUUACUCCCCAGCCCUGGUAUCUAUGCUCACACUGCCAAUCAAAUAUGCUCCUGUCCAGAUAGAAAGUAAAGGCGAUGCCCUGAGUGAAGCGAGGAGUUUGGAUCAGGAUGGAGAUGUUUACUGUCCUUGGAAAAGUCUCAGAUCUGUUGCAUGGGGUACUUCUGGGGAAGAGACAGAAGGAGAAGAGAGAGAUGGAGGAAGAGAGAGAUGAGAGGGAGGUAGAGGACAAAAGAGACAUUUGGGAAGAGAGAGGCUGUGUUUGGUCACUCAGUAUUCAGUCUGGAGUUCCGUGCAUCCAAAUAAAACACGGAUACAAGCCAGGAGUCUUCUCUGACUUUUUCGAGAUGUCCCUGUCCCAAGCUGUAGUCCCCACUUGCUUUAAGGAGACCACCAUCAUCCCAGUUCCCAACAAAACCAAGAUCCACGGAAGAGGCCAUUUCGAUCGCUAUUCACAUGACCCUAACCCAUCUGGACAAGAGGAACAACUAUGUGAGAAUGCUGUUCAUUGACUACAGUUCAGCAUUCAACAAUAUUGUUCCCUGCAAGCUUGACACCAAGCUCAGAGCCCUGGGUCUGGAC
This 767-nucleotide long non-coding RNA is filed under the name Salmo salar (Atlantic salmon). Its description in RNAcentral is "lncRNA (ENSSSAG00000091787.1)". The record is from RNAcentral. Lineage: Eukaryota; Metazoa; Chordata; Actinopteri; Salmoniformes; Salmonidae.